RNAcentral lists this transfer RNA (73 nucleotides) under Ursus americanus (American black bear). It matches the Rfam family "tRNA". Rfam says of the family: Transfer RNA (tRNA) molecules are approximately 80 nucleotides in length. Their secondary structure includes four short double-helical elements and three loops (D, anti-codon, and T loops). RNAcentral also lists the same sequence under 2 other names. Lineage: Eukaryota; Metazoa; Chordata; Mammalia; Carnivora; Ursidae. The record is from Rfam by way of RNAcentral.
ACCUGGCCGGCUCAGUUGGGAGAGCAUGUGACUCUUGAUCUCAGGGUCAUGAGUUCGAGCCCCAUGUUGGGUA